GUAGGUAGAGAAGGUUUGCCUCCGGAAGCCCCCCGCAACGACAUAAAACAAGUGCCUGGUCCGCGCUUAAACAGCGCGGGCAACACCGUUCAAGUGCUGAGAGCGCCGGGAACCCCCCGGCGUAAUCAGCAGCCAGCUCGUUCGCGGCUGGUGCACAGAUCAUUCGACGGUGACCUUAUGGUUGAGACAUGACCGGUCCCCGGCCACAUGGCCCGGAGAACAACGGAACCUGCGGAAGGAUCAUUAUCGAGAGAAGGGGUCUAAUCGGCCCCACCUCUUUACCCGUGUCUAUCUACCUAUGUUGCUUUGGCGGGCCCGGGCUCGUCCCGGGGAGCUUUUCGCUCCUUUGUGCCCGCCGAAAGCCUCAAUCAAUUCUGUUAUCAGUGUCGUCCGAGUAAACAUAUAAUAGUUAAAACUUUCAACAACGGAUCUCUUGGUUCUG
RNAcentral lists this unclassified non-coding RNA (442 nucleotides) under rhizosphere metagenome. Its description in RNAcentral is "partial ribosomal RNA internal transcribed spacer region". The record is from RNAcentral.